GAAAUGCGAUAAGUAAUGUGAAUUGCAGAAUUCAGUGAAUCAUCGAAUCUUUGAACGCACAUUGCGCCCGCCAGUAUUCUGGCGGGCAUGCCUGUUCGAGCGUCAUUUCAACCAUCAAGCCCCCGGCUUGUGUUGGGGACCUGCGGCUGCCCGCAGGCCCUGAAAAACAGUGGCGGGCUCGCUGUCACACCGAGCGUAGUAGCAUAUAUUCUCGCUCAGGGCGUGCUGCGGGUUCCGGCCGUUAAACGACCUUCAUAACCCAAGGUUGACCUCGGAUCAGGUAGGAAGACCCGCUGAACUUAAGC
RNAcentral lists this unclassified non-coding RNA (305 nucleotides) under plant metagenome. RNAcentral's name for it is "partial contains 5.8S ribosomal RNA, internal transcribed spacer 2, and large subunit ribosomal RNA". The stretch from base 1 to 105 matches the Rfam family "5.8S ribosomal RNA", at positions 50 to 154 of the family's 154-position model. The record is from RNAcentral.